ACGGGUGAGUAACGCGUGGGUAACCUACCCUGUACACACGGAUAACAUACCGAAAGGUAUGCUAAUACGGGAUAAUAUAUUUGAGAGGCAUCUCUUAAAUAUCAAAGGUGAGCCAGUACAGGAUGGACCCGCGUCUGAUUAGCUAGUUGGUAAGGUAACGGCUUACCAAGGCGACGAUCAGUAGCCGACCUGAGAGGGUGAUCGGCCACAUUGGAACUGAGACACGGUCCAAACUCCUACGGGAGGCAGCAGUGGGGAAUAUUGCACAAUGGGCGAAAGCCUGAUGCAGCAACGCCGCGUGAGUGAUGAAGGCCUUCGGGUCGUAAAACUCUGUCCUCAAGGAAGAUAAUGACGGUACUUGAGGAGGAAGCCCCGGCUAACUACGUGCCAGCAGCCGCGGUAAUACGUAGGGGGCUAGCGUUAUCCGGAUUUACUGGGCGUAAAGGGUGCGUAGGCGGUCUUUCAAGUCAGGAGUGAAAGGCUACGGCUCAACCGUAGUAAGCUCUUGAAACUGGGAGACUUGAGUGCAGGAGAGGAGAGUGGAAUUCCUAGUGUAGCGGUGAAAUGCGUAGAUAUUAGGAGGAACACCAGUUGCGAAGGCGGCUCUCUGGACUGUAACUGACGCUGAGGCGCGAAAGCGUGGGGAGCAAACAGGAUUAGAUACCCUGGUAGUCCACGCUGUAAACGAUGAGUACUAGGUGUCGGGGGUUACCCCCCUCGGUGCCGCAGCUAACG
Molecule: ribosomal RNA, 735 nt
Filed under: uncultured bacterium
Lineage: Bacteria
Description: bacterial SSU rRNA
Rfam family: Bacterial small subunit ribosomal RNA
Source: RNAcentral